AAUGAACGUUGGCGGCGUGGAUUAGGCAUGCAAGUCGUACGAGAAGUCUUAAAUUGAAGCUUCGGUUGAUUUUUAGGAUGGAAAGUGGCGAAAGGGAGAGUAACGCGUGGAUAUCUGCCCCGAGACCCGGGAUAGCUGCGGGAAACUGCAGGUAAUACCGGAUAAUGUCUCCGGACCAAAGGUGUGAUUCCGUCUUGGGAUGAGUCCGCGUCCUAUUAGCUUGUUGGUGGGGUAAUGGCCUACCAAGGCAAUGAUGGGUAGCGGGUGUGAGAGCAUGGCCCGUCUCACUGGGACUGAGACACUGCCCAGACACCUACGGGUGGCUGCAGUCGAGAAUCUUCCGCAAUGGACGAAAGUCUGACGGAGCGACGCCGCGUGCGGGAUGAAGGCCCUCGGGUUGUAAACCGCUGUCAGUUGGGAGGAAAUGCUAUGGGGUACUCUCCAUAGUUUGACCGAUCUUCAGAGGAAGUCCGGGCUAAGUUCGUG
This 486-nucleotide ribosomal RNA is filed under the name uncultured bacterium. RNAcentral describes it as "bacterial SSU rRNA". It matches the Rfam family "Bacterial small subunit ribosomal RNA", at positions 29 to 507 of the family's 1533-position model. The record is from RNAcentral.